Molecule: long non-coding RNA, 653 nt
Organism: Daphnia pulex (common water flea)
Lineage: Eukaryota; Metazoa; Arthropoda; Branchiopoda; Diplostraca; Daphniidae
Exons: 2
Source: RefSeq, a predicted model, not a curated record
UAAGUCCUGCAAGUCACCGCUUUAAUUUUUUAUGAUUUUCUAUUUAAUUUCAGGUGAUGUGACGGACAACAUGAGAUUCUCCUCGUCAUUGUUGAAGUUCUGUGUUGUGUCAACUCUUCACAUAGUUGCAUUUGAUCAUCCCGACGAGGAGCCUAAUUUGAUCAUUUCUGAUCUAGCGUACACAGAUUUUCCCUUAAAUCAAAUAUAAGGUUUUUCUGCAGACGAUGCCGUGUAGUGGCGUGGGUAUCGCUGAUGCUGGGUGACGUCAAGAUGAACGCUUAGCAGCCUGGUGAGAUUGAGAAUUUUACGGGGUGGCAAAGUUUGUUGGUUUUAAGAAGUAUUGUUGAGCCUGCUUGUUGUUCGAGUUGUGGGGUUUGUUACUUAGGUAGGAUUUUUUUCCCCCAUGAAUAAGUUUACGAGUUAUUUUGUGAUAUUCCGAUUUGUGUAGUGUAGUUUCCCCGUUCAGCUUAGGCAUCACACUUUCGUUUUUCUUCUAUAAUUUUGAUCCUCUCCUUUCGCUCCUACACCUUAACUUUAGUGAAUUGGGGCUCUGCAAAUUUUAAGAGUUUAAUAAGUGUUGUUUUAAUUUUGUCGGUGCAACUCUUCUUAACUACAAAGUGAAGAGGUACUACAUUACAUUGGGCGUUUAAAUC